UAGCACAAAAAAUACAAACUUACACCAACACACACAUCUGAUUUCUCUCACCUCUCACACUCUUCUCUCCAAACCAGCCUCUCCAUCACCGCCACCCACCGGCGAACCAGUCACUGCGCCGUCUCCCUUUUCUCUCCCCAUUUUUCAACCGCGCCGCCCCGUUCUAGCCACAGCCGCUGCUAAAACAGCCGCAAACCACAAGCCCAACAACUACCCUUUUCCGGCAAACCCACAACCACGCUUCCCGUCCCCUUGUUUCCCCUCUUUCCCACUGCCAUCCCCACAAAACCACCAUCACUGCCGGCAAGCCCCUCUUCUCCGUCGCUGCUUCGCCGGAAGUGAAGACCGGCGAGCCCUCAUCAUGGACGGACGAGGACAAACGGCGUAAGGAUCGGAAGGCUCAAAGGAUCAGAAGGCUCUAUCUCAGAUCCACCUUUAUUUAUCCAAUCAGAUUCUACAGGAUGUUUUGAAGGAGACUACUGCCACUGCGUUGUGGUUGAAAUUGGAAUCGCUGUGUAUGACGAGGAGCCUAACAAGUACUGAUGCUCAGUUCCUGGAUCACACUUAGACUCUCAGACUCUCAGCUGUACAGUAGCAGUGUAGAAGCUAUGAUGCAAGAGAACCAAUAAGGAUGGAAGCAAAGAAGAUGAAAUCUGAAGUAAUUCAAAGAGAAGUGUGGCUGGCGACGUUUUUUAUAAGUUAUUAGCCCUGUGAUAAGUUAUUGAUGUGUGAGAAGAUGCUAACACAUUU
Long non-coding RNA from Capsicum annuum, 750 nucleotides. RefSeq lists it as uncharacterized. The record is from RefSeq and is a predicted model, not a curated record. Lineage: Eukaryota; Viridiplantae; Streptophyta; Magnoliopsida; Solanales; Solanaceae. The transcript has 4 exons.